GUGCCAGCCGCCGCGGUAAUACGUAGGGUGCAAGCGUUAAUCGGAAUUACUGGGCGUAAAGCGUGCGCAGGCGGUUUGCUAAGACCGAUGUGAAAUCCCCGGGCUCAACCUGGGAACUGCAUUGGUGACUGGCAGGCUAGAGUAUGGCAGAGGGGGGUAGAAUUCCACGUGUAGCAGUGAAAUGCGUAGAGAUGUGGAGGAAUACCGAUGGCGAAGGCAGCCCC
RNAcentral lists this ribosomal RNA (224 nucleotides) under Burkholderia sp. RNAcentral's name for it is "partial 16S ribosomal RNA". It matches the Rfam family "Bacterial small subunit ribosomal RNA", at positions 505 to 728 of the family's 1533-position model. The record is from RNAcentral. Lineage: Bacteria; Pseudomonadati; Pseudomonadota; Betaproteobacteria; Burkholderiales; Burkholderiaceae.